RNAcentral lists this ribosomal RNA (473 nucleotides) under Staphylococcus aureus. RNAcentral describes it as "bacterial SSU rRNA". It matches the Rfam family "Bacterial small subunit ribosomal RNA", at positions 279 to 744 of the family's 1533-position model. The record is from RNAcentral. Lineage: Bacteria; Bacillati; Bacillota; Bacilli; Caryophanales; Staphylococcaceae.
AUGCAUAGCCGACCUGAGAGGGUGAUCGGCCACACUGGAACUGAGACACGGUCCAGACUCCUACGGGAGGCAGCAGUAGGGAAUCUUCCGCAAUGGGCGAAAGCCUGACGGAGCAACGCCGCGUGAGUGAUGAAGGUCUUCGGAUCGUAAAACUCUGUUAUUAGGGAAGAACAUAUGUGUAAGUAACUGUGCACAUCUUGACGGUACCUAAUCAGAAAGCCACGGCUAACUACGUGCCAGCAGCCGCGGUAAUACGUAGGUGGCAAGCGUUAUCCGGAAUUAUUGGGCGUAAAGCGCGCGUAGGCGGUUUUUUAAGUCUGAUGUGAAAGCCCACGGCUCAACCGUGGAGGGUCAUUGGAAACUGGAAAACUUGAGUGCAGAAGAGGAAAGUGGAAUUCCAUGUGUAGCGGUGAAAUGCGCAGAGAUAUGGAGGAACACCAGUGGCGAAGGCGACUUUCUGGUCUGUAACUGAC